Molecule: ribosomal RNA, 119 nt
Filed under: Pteropus alecto (black flying fox)
Lineage: Eukaryota; Metazoa; Chordata; Mammalia; Chiroptera; Pteropodidae
Source: RNAcentral
GUCUAUGGCCAUGCCACCCUCAACAAGCCCAAUCUUGUCUGAUCUCGGAAGCUAAGCAGGGUUGGGCCUGGUUAGUACUUGAAUGGGAGACCAUCUAGGAAGACCAGGUGGUGUAGGCG